Molecule: ribosomal RNA, 778 nt
Filed under: uncultured Neocallimastigales
Lineage: Eukaryota; Fungi; Neocallimastigomycota; Neocallimastigomycetes; Neocallimastigales
Description: partial large subunit ribosomal RNA
Rfam family: Eukaryotic large subunit ribosomal RNA
Source: RNAcentral
AGAGAGAGACAUGCGCGCAUAUCAAUAAGCGGAGGAAAAGAAACUAACAAGGAUUCCCUUAGUAACGGCGAGUGAAGCGGGAAGAGCUCAAAUUUGAAAUCUUCAAGGUUUUACCUUGACGAAUUGUAGUUUAAAGAAGUGUUUUCUGCUGAAGUUUUGGUAAAAGUUCUUUGGAAUAGGACAUCAUAGAGGGUGAGAAUCCCGUAUUUGACCAUUAUUUUCAGCUUUGUGAUACACUUUCAAAGAGUCGGAUUGUUUGGGAAUGCAGUCCAAAAUGGGUGGUAAAUUUCAUCUAAAGCUAAAUAUUGGCGAGAGACCGAUGAGCGAACAAGUACCGUGAGGGAAAGAUGAAAAGAACUUUGAAAAGGAGAGUUAAACAGUACGUGAAAUUGUCAAAAGGGAAGCGUUUGACACCAGUGUUGUUUUCUCGAAAAUCAAUUAAAAAUGGCUCGAUUUUGUAUUGUUGAGACCUUAAAAGCUCACUGUACAUUUUUCGUGUCUUUUUUAAUGCACUUUUCGUUUAACAAGUCAACAUCAGUUUCUUUUGUUGUAAAAGGGUCAUUGGAAGGUGGCUUUCUUUUCGGAGAAAGUGUUUAUAGCCUUUGGCCUCUGCAAUCGGAGAGACUUGAGGUCUGCAGCGUAGAUCUCUUCGGGGUUAGAUACAUUUGUGCUAAGUUAUAGCUUUUUAUAGACAACUUGUUGACUAUAAUUAGUCUUGUAGCUUACUCGCUUAUGCUAUUUUACCUACGCUUAGGAUGUUGAGUCGUAGAGCACGCAG